This 460-nucleotide ribosomal RNA is filed under the name uncultured bacterium. RNAcentral describes it as "bacterial SSU rRNA". It matches the Rfam family "Bacterial small subunit ribosomal RNA", at positions 340 to 786 of the family's 1533-position model. The record is from RNAcentral.
UACGGAAGGCAGCAGUGGGGAAUAUUGCACAAUGGGCGAAAGCCUGAUGCAGCUAUGCCGCGUGUAUGAAGAAGGCCUUAGGGUUGUAAAGUACUUUCAUCGGGGAGGAAAAACAAAACUAAUAAUUUUAUUUCUUGACGUUACCCGAAAAAGAAGCACCGGCUAACUCCGUGCCAGCAGCCGCGGUAAUACGGAGGGUGCUAGCGUUAAUCAGAAUUACUGGGCGUAAAGAGCACGUAGGUGGUUUUUUUAAAGUCAGAUGUGAAAUCCCUGGGCUUAAACCUAGGAACUGCAUUUUGAAACUGAAAUACUAGAGUAUCGUAGAGGGAGGUAGAAUUCUAGGUGUAGCGGUGAAAUGCGUAGAUAUCUGGAGGAAUACCUGUGGCGAAAGCGGCCUCCUAAACGAAUACUGACACUGAGGGUGCGAAAAGCGUGGGGAGCAAAACAGGGAUUAGAUACC